Molecule: non-coding RNA, 29 nt
Filed under: Mus musculus (house mouse)
Lineage: Eukaryota; Metazoa; Chordata; Mammalia; Rodentia; Muridae
Also listed under: 1 other name
Source: RNAcentral
UUCUCUUCUUUGGUUAGAUUGGCUAGGGA